This 100-nucleotide signal recognition particle RNA is filed under the name Harryflintia acetispora. RNAcentral describes it as "Bacterial small signal recognition particle RNA". It matches the Rfam family "Bacterial small signal recognition particle RNA". Rfam says of the family: The signal recognition particle (SRP) is a universally conserved ribonucleoprotein involved in the co-translational targeting of proteins to membranes. Archaeal SRP consists of a 7S RNA and homologues of the eukaryotic SRP19 and SRP54 proteins. The record is from Rfam by way of RNAcentral. Lineage: Bacteria; Bacillati; Bacillota; Clostridia; Eubacteriales; Oscillospiraceae. RNAcentral also lists the same sequence under 1 other name.
AUACGGGCCCUGUGCGGCGGGGCGCUGUGAAUCAUGUCAGGCGGGGAACCGAGCAGCAUUAAGCAGUCUGUUCCGUGCGCCGCAGGCAAACCUGUAUCUC